This is a long non-coding RNA of Homo sapiens (human), 977 nucleotides long. Ensembl annotates it as BAALC antisense RNA 1. Its record names the gene BAALC-AS1. NCBI's taxonomy places the organism in Eukaryota, Metazoa, Chordata, Mammalia, Primates, Hominidae. The record is from Ensembl.
UUGAGGGGAGAUGGAACCCUGAGCAGCCCAUGUACAUGGAAGAUCUUUAUUGCAGAGAUCUUCAAACCAGGAUCUUCUAAGGGUGUGAGGAUACAGGCGUCAAAGACCCCGUGCUGAGACAGCUCCAUAACAACAUGCAGAUAUUUGGCAAUGAGGGUUCAGAAGAGGACUUGCUGUGGAGAAGAGAGAAAAGAGAUGGGAAGACUCUGUGAAUGAAUAGAGAACACUCUGCAAGCAUCCCAGUUCCUUUGGUUGCCCUGCAGUCUGCAGGUACCAGGAGAAAUCAAAAGCCGCCUGGAAGGGCUUUCUGUCUGUAUGGAGUCAAGGCAGUGUCUUCAAAUCUGUGCUUUCUAAAACAAAGAAAUAACCUUGAUGAAACAAAUUUUCCCCAGAGGAAGGGGAGAGCCCACAGUGAGCUGGUAAAGAAGAUGCCUGGAGCAGGCAGCAUCCUCAAAUGGAAGGUAAUUGCCCUCAAAUCACUUAACUAGGAUGACCUACUUUGCUUUCCUGUAUAGCCAGGUCUGUUAUCAGACCCUUAUCUUGGGAGGCAUCGUGCCAGAGCCUGGGGCAAGAAAGGGCUGCUAUCCAGGAAUGCAGGUGAAAUUAUAGCUAUUAGCCCUGUCUUAGAGUGUGAGGAAAAUGUGCCCCCCUACCCCUGGCUAAGUUUGGGUUCCCAUGUCAUAAACUGCCUCCCUCUCUGAUAGCUCUGCAUAAACAUCCCAGGAACUCAAAGUAACAUUUGAUUUCCCAAAGAGAACAUUUGCAUUUGUAACUGUCAGAAAUAGGAGAGAUCAUCAAAGCUAAAUGAAUUGGGCUAUAAACAGUUUGAAAUAUGUCUUUAAAUUUUAAAAAACAUAUUUUUUGUUUGUUUUGGGGAGAGAGGAUCAUUUAGACUCAACAACAAAACAGAAAACUGUGAGUGCCAUUUUGAGACAAGACCUACCUGGUCCUUCCCCCUCAUACUUUCUGCUACCCCG